GAUGAACGCUGGCGGCGUGCCUAACACAUGCAAGUCGAACGAAGCGUGACGGAUGAUGUCUUCGGAAUGAAACCAGAUAUGACGUAGUGGCGGACGGGUGAGUAACCCGAUAGCAACCGGCCUUUCAGGGGGGGAUAACGGCAGUACACGGUCGUAUAUACCGCAUGAUGUGUCCGGAGUGCAUCACGGUAAUAUCAAACAUUUAUCGCUGAGCGAUGGGCUCGCGUCUGGUUGGAUAGGUGGUGGGAUAACAGCCUACCAAGGCUACGAUCAGUAGCCGGCCUGAGCGGUUGCACGGCCACAUUGCCACUGAGAUGCGGCCCAGACUCCUCCUGCAGGCAGCAGUGGGGCAUAUUGCACCAUGGCCGAAUCACUGAUGCAGCAACGCCGCGUGAAGGAUGACGGUUUUAGGAUUGUAAACUUCUUUUCUUAGUUACGAAGACAGUGACGGUAGCUAAGGAAUAAGCCUCGGCUAACUACGUG
This 483-nucleotide ribosomal RNA is filed under the name uncultured bacterium. Its description in RNAcentral is "partial 16S ribosomal RNA". It matches the Rfam family "Bacterial small subunit ribosomal RNA", at positions 28 to 507 of the family's 1533-position model. The record is from RNAcentral.